Non-coding RNA from Peromyscus maniculatus bairdii (prairie deer mouse), 3375 nucleotides. The record is from RefSeq and is a predicted model, not a curated record. Lineage: Eukaryota; Metazoa; Chordata; Mammalia; Rodentia; Cricetidae.
UUGUCGCGAGGACCGCCCCGUUAACCCUUCAUUCUGUCUCGGUGUCCGGAUAGCUCGCCUGUUUGCGUGUGUGCCUUUCCGUUAGUCCAGCCUGGAGGAUAAAAGCUUUUCCGGAGUCGGUUCUGUGGUCAUCUUGUUCACCAACACUCACGGUUUCCGUAGUCCACACUCUUAGCUCUGAAUCUCUGGGCAGAUUAGUAAGCACCUCGGAAAUCACCUCAGGGUCUCCCAAAGAUGCUGGUUCCUCAAAGAUGCCAUCAUCCCUAGAAAACAAGAAGCAGUCUAUAGAACAUGACACCCACAUUCCCAAGAGGAACAAGUUCAACUAUGUCGGACAUUGCUGAGAUAGACUUAUGUCUACUCCUUGAUUAAAUGAUAAAUGAGAGUGGGCGAGGGGGGCCAGCAGCUUGCAUUUGGACAUAUUAAGUUUGAAAAGCAGAGCAGACAUCCAAGUAGACAUGUCAACAGCUUGCUGGGGAUCCAAGUCUGUAGUUCUGGGCAAAGGCCUGGGCUGGAGUUCUGUCUGAGCUGUUAGCAUACAGACAGUGUGUACAGCCAAGCGACAAGUCAGAUGAAGUCAGAAACUAGAGGAAAACAGAAAAGGAGAGUCAUGGAUGAGAGAAUUAUGGAGCCGCACCAGCAUUAAAGAUGUGGACCUUGAGGAAGGAUCUUCAGCAAAGGAUGCUGGGAAGGAGCUAGUGAGGCAGGCGGAAACGCAGGUGUGAGUUCCAGAAGGGAGAUGAAGAGAGAAUCAAUUAUGCCAAGUGCUGUUGAUAGAAAGUCGAGUGAGGACUGGUUACUGAUUAUGUCUGAUGCGCUAAUUUAGCCUCUCCAUUCUUCAGUCUCAGCUUACUCCUUCAAAUCUCAUCCAAGCGCAUUUUUUUUUUUGGUACCUCUCUGCAUCAGCCAGCAUUUCCACAUCCUUUUGUCUCUUCUUGCAGAAAUCCUUCAAGCCUUCACCACCUGUUCUCCAGAUCACAGCAGUAAAAGGCUGCAGUGGCAGAAGUCUUAUGCAGAAGCCUUUUUAUAAAGGGAAGGUGAUCAGACAAAGGAAGCCUGUGAAGUUUGAUAAUGAUAUAUAUGUAUUCUAAGGAGUUUUAAACAUAACCAUUCUAAUGCACUAGCUACCAUAGAAAUACUGAUUAAAAUAAGCUGGCUACCCCACUCCCCUAAACCAAAUUGGCAUUUUAAAAGGCAUACUCAGCUAUGGACAAGACAUAGCAGGCAUGCCUUGUCUUGCUGGUGGAAGUGUUAAUUGCUAAAACUUUUCUAAGGGCAGCUUGGUAAUACAGAACAAUACUUUUUGUAGGUUUUUAUUUUCUUGACACUUUCGGGUCCAAUAAUUUUUCCUUUAACAGUUUAUUGUAAGGAAAGCACCAUCUAGACUUCUAUAAAAGGAUGUUCACAUCAAUGCUAUUUCUUAUACAUCUUAGGAUAUGGAAUUAAGUAAAAUUUUCUAUUUCUGUAGAACACUGAAACUCCUGAGUAUUGUUUCUGACAAGACUUACAGGCAUAAAACAGCAAAGAAAAUCAAAAUCAUUUAAUAUUCUACUUUGGAGCUUAAGUCAGCAAAUUCUGACACAGAUUCAGAACAAAACUCCUGCAGAAAAAGAAUUUUAACAAUAAGAGAACCUGUCUACAAAAUGUAGUCAAAGAAAAAAAAAGAAAUGAAACUAACUAUAAAAUGAUGCUAUGAUUCUACUGUUUAAAAGAAAGAGAAUAGAAAAAAAUAUUUAAAAAUCUAUCAAUAAAAGUCUCACUAGUAAUCAUUUCAAGAUUCUCAAUAAUAAUUAUUCUUUAACCUGCUUGACCUUGUUGGACUUUUUACUAAUUCUAGAAUUUUGCUGAGGGCCUGCCAUGCAGAUAUUUGGGAUGCAUUAAUGAGAACAAAUAAUUCCCACCCUUGCAGUGUUUACAACCUAUUGAAGAGACACAGUUGAUAGAUUGUAAUGAAGAAGAAAUUAUAUAACCUCUUAUAAGAGGUGAUGAAUGGUGGAGGAAAACAGUAAAUGCAAACAAGGGGCUGGAAAUGUAUGGCUAUGUGAUGGUUAACCUUCAUCAUCAACUUGGCUUGAUUAGGAGUCACCAUGGGAACACCUCUUGGCAUGACAGUGUGGGCAUUUCCAGAAAGGUUUAACUGAAGAGGAAAGACUCACCCUAAAUGUGGGCAGCACUGUCCCUGAGCUAGAGUUCCAGACUGAUUGAGAAGGAAAAAGCCAGCUGAGUACCAGUGUUCAUCUCUCUCGGCUUCCUGACUGUGGUUGCCAUGCGACCAGCUACCACACGCUCCUACAGCUCCAUCAUCCCUGCCAUCCCUGCAGCAUCAAACUGUGAGCCAAAAUAAACCCUUCUUUCCUGAAGUGGCUUUUGUCACCUCUCCUGUCAAAGCAAUGAGAAAAAUAAGGAGCAUGGACUGCAGCUUUCAAUCCAGCAGUCAUGGCGGAUCUCACCGAAGAGGAGGCAUUUAAGGAAAACAUUACAGACAUGAGGCAUUACCACCUGAAUGUUGAGGAAGAAACUUUCCAGAGGGGACAUUUGGCAGUGUCUUGGAGGCAUUUUGGUUGCCAUGCCCGGGAGAUACAGUGUUACUAGCAAUCUACUUGGGAGAUUGCUAAAAAUCCCUCAGUGUGUGGAACAGCCCUUUCUCUGUUUCAUCCAACCCCAAACACCAGUAAAUCAAGAAACUCUGGUUGACUCUGAAGGCAAAAGAAAGGAAGAGAAAAGAGACCCUUAGCAGAAGUUGUUACAUAAAUGGAUAAAAUAGAAUUUUUCCUCCAAGCAAGGCUAGAAGUGAGGCAGAAUAUUCAAUAUGAAAAGUGCCUGUGAAGCAAAUGCCACAGCUCCAUGAUGACAAAGGCCUACAGUCUUAGUGUGAAAACAACUUAGCCUUGAAAAUAAUCGAGUUCCUGUCAUCCCACUAUACUGCUGUUUUCACCCUCACACCAUGACCCUUUCUUCUCUUCUUGGUGUGGCUGGAGCCUGUGCUUCUAUGGAUGCUCACUGUCCUCCAAUGGAAUGUCCUCCCUUCUGCUCUGCUCCUAGCAGCUCCAGUCACUACGGGAAAGGGAGAUUCUAGACUGUAUGAGAGAAGGCUGGUCUUUCAGAAAAGAAUCCAAGUGAAUAUAUGCCUCCUCUCUUUUGUGAGAUCCCACAGAAAUACAUGAAAUUAUAUUAAUGAGAAAGAAGCUAUAACAUGCAUGUACAUUGAAAAGAGCCAGCAAGAGAAAAACAUUGGCUUGAGUGGGAGAAGAAAAAGAACAAAAUAGAUUGAAUUGAUGGAAAAAUGCAACAAGGUAUUCAGAAUCUAUUAAUGGGGCUAAUAAAUAUUCUCCAAAUGAAGUGAAAUUGCCAGAAGAAAUAAAAAUGUGGGGUCAG